GAUGAACGCUGGCGGCGUGCCUAAUACAUGCAAGUCGAGCGAACAGACGAGGAGCUUGCUCCUCUGACGUUAGCGGCGGACGGGUGAGUAACACGUGGAUAACCUACCUAUAAGACUGGGAUAACUUCGGGAAACCGGAGCUAAUACCGGAUAAUAUAUUGAACCGCAUGGUUCAAUAGUGAAAGACGGUUUUGCUGUCACUUAUAGAUGGAUCCGCGCCGCAUUAGCUAGUUGGUAAGGUAACGGCUUAACAAGGCAACGAUGCGUAGCCGACCUGAGAGAGUGACCGGCCACACUGGAACUGAGACACGGUCCAGACUCAUACGGGAGGCAGGAGUAGGGAAUCUUCCGCAAUGGGCGAAAGCUUGACAGAGCAACGCCGCGUGAGUGAUGAAGGUCUUCGGAUCGUAAAACUCUGUUAUUAGGGAAGAACAAAUGUGUAAGUAACUAUGAACGUCUUGACGGUACCUAAUCAGAAAGCCACGGUUAACUACGUG
Molecule: ribosomal RNA, 497 nt
Filed under: uncultured bacterium
Lineage: Bacteria
Description: partial 16S ribosomal RNA
Rfam family: Bacterial small subunit ribosomal RNA
Source: RNAcentral